This 403-nucleotide ribosomal RNA is filed under the name bacterium. RNAcentral describes it as "partial 16S ribosomal RNA". It matches the Rfam family "Bacterial small subunit ribosomal RNA", at positions 355 to 776 of the family's 1533-position model. The record is from RNAcentral.
UGGGGAAUAUUGCACAAUGGGGGAAACCCCGAUGCAGCGACGCCGCGUGAACGAAGAAGGUAUUCGUAUCGUAAAGUUCUGUCCUAUGGGAAGAUAAUGACAGUACCAUAGAAGAAAGCUCCGGCUAAAUACGUGCCAGCAGCCGCGGUAAUACGUAUGGAGCGAGCGUUGUCCGGAAUUAUUGGGCGUAAAGGGUACGCAGGCGGUUUAAUAAGUCGAAUGUUAAAGAUAGGGGCUCAACCCCGCAAAGCAUUGGAAACUGAUAAACUUGAGUAGUGGAGAGGAAAGUGGAAUUCCUAGUGUAGUGGUGAAAUACGUAGAUAUUAGGAGGAGUACCAGUAGCGAAGGCGACUUUCUGGACACAAACUGACGCUGAGGUACGAAAGCGUGGGGAGCAAACAGG